GAGACUGUACGUAUAAGGAAAUAGACACUCAGAGAAGUGAAGCAGUUUGCCCAAAGCUACUCAGCUAGUGAGUGACAGAGCUAGGAUUCAAACCCAUUUUUGUCUGGGGACAAAGCCCUGCCCUUGUCCUUAUGCCAAGCUGCCUCCUUUGUGAGGCAGCUGGUUGUUAUGAUUGUGGCACUGACCACUCAGAUGUUGUGCUCGGAACCAAGCAGAAGAGCACCAAGCCUUAUAGGCCCUGACAGAUGGAUGAAGGAAGGUAUUGCCUCAGCCUGCCUGGGUUCCUCGGGGGAGAGAGGGAGACAGGAAGCAUUAAUGGGGGAAAGGUGUGCCAAGCCUUGCCAAGCAGGUCAUUGUGGGUGGGGAGACACCGCCUACGUGCUCGGGACGCCCCAGGAUUUGGGUGGAGGUUCUUGAGGAGGCAG
Molecule: long non-coding RNA, 425 nt
Filed under: Homo sapiens (human)
Lineage: Eukaryota; Metazoa; Chordata; Mammalia; Primates; Hominidae
Description: HSALNT0105472
Source: RNAcentral